AUAUUGCACUGCAACCAUCAUAAAUAUGAACCAGUUGCCAAGGAUCUGAAUUUUGUCCACAUGACCAGGGGGAUGCUAGAAGAAAUAGCAGUAAUACUUAAAAGGAAUGAAUUCCUUUCUGUGAAGUUCGUAAUUUGGAAUCAAAUUAAGGAUCUUGUUUGUAGGAGUGAACCAGAUUUCGAAGGGGAAAAGGAGAUUCAGCACACACAGCUUUGGUGGCACAGUGGUUAGAAUGCAGUAUUUCAGGUUAAUUCUGCUGACUGCCAGAUGUUUGAUUCUCACUGGCUAAAGGUUGACUCGGCCUUCCAAGGUGUUAAUCCUCAAUGGUUAUCCCAAACGGAAGCUUUCUGAAUUGGCAGCAAUUCCCGGGAUUCUCAAGGUCUCACAAAUUGGUUCAUGAAAGAAAGUUCUGAAGUCACUUUAAGGUAAAGAAUCAUAACCAAGCAUAAAAGGGUAUUACAAAAGUAUGAAGAAAAAACAAUUGCUACCAACCUGCCUUCCAUUGAGGACCUGUAUACUGCACGAGUCAAAAAAAAGGGCUGUGAAAAUAUUUACAGACCGUUCACAUCCUGGACAUAAACUGUUUCAACUUUUACCCUCAAAACGACACUAUAGAGCACUGCACACAGAACAACUAGACACAAGAACAGUUUUAUCCCAAACGCCAUCACUCUGCUAAACAAAUAAUUCCCUCAACACUGUCAAACUAUUUACUAAGUCUGCACUACUAUGAAUCUUCUCAUUGUACCCUUCACCCAUCUCCUUCCACUUAUGACUGUAACUUUAUUGCUUGUAUCCUUACGAUUUAUAUUGAUAUUGUUUCCCGAUUGCUUAUUUGUACCCUAUUAGUAUCAUAAAGUAUUGUACCUUAGAAUUCUUGAUGAACGUAUCUUUUCUCUUAUGUAUACUGAGAUCAUAUGCACCAAAACAAAUUCUA
Ahaetulla prasina is the source of this 937-nucleotide long non-coding RNA. RefSeq lists it as uncharacterized. Lineage: Eukaryota; Metazoa; Chordata; Lepidosauria; Squamata; Colubridae. The transcript has 5 exons. The record is from RefSeq and is a predicted model, not a curated record.